Homo sapiens (human) is the source of this 566-nucleotide long non-coding RNA. Ensembl annotates it as HOXB cluster antisense RNA 4. Its record names the gene HOXB-AS4. The record is from Ensembl. Lineage: Eukaryota; Metazoa; Chordata; Mammalia; Primates; Hominidae.
CCUUAAGACCCAAGCAAAGCAGGCACUGCGCUCUGACUGCCGUCUUCCUGGUUCCCCUUCCCUCUCCUGCCCUGACUUUGCAGCUGCCUCUCUGCAACAAGAGAGGAGUCAAGAGGACCACUCAGUUUAGGGAAGAAGUUAGAGGAAGAAGAACACUUGGGCUGAUGGCUUGUGCUCUACAAGGCGGCCAGACCUUUGCCCAGCCCUGCCCGUUUAUUGCCGGGUACUUGCUGGAAGGGGACAGAAGAUAAGACUCGGGGUGACUCCCAAGGCCUGAAGGGGGCUGAUUGGGCCGGGGGCUCCCAGAGGAUAAACCUAGGGGCCGGUCGGUCUUCCUCGGCGUGGAAGUGAGAGCCACGCGGCGUGGCGGAGCUCCACCACCGUCUCCUUAUCUCUUUAAAGCCUCAAAAUCAAACAAAACCACUACUACCCAGGCCUCAAGUUUCCACAGUUUUUGUCUGCUCUGGACCGUUUACUUUUUUUGAAAAAAGAGAACUUGGUGGAAUCCAAAUUCUCUACUAGGCCUCCGAACCAAAACGAAGGAAAAUCCGUUUUCUUCUUGGGCU